RNAcentral lists this ribosomal RNA (460 nucleotides) under uncultured bacterium. Its description in RNAcentral is "partial 16S ribosomal RNA". It matches the Rfam family "Bacterial small subunit ribosomal RNA", at positions 338 to 795 of the family's 1533-position model. The record is from RNAcentral.
CCUACGGGUGGCAGCAGUGAGGAAUAUUGGUCAAUGGACGCAAGUCUGAACCAGCCAUGCCGCGUGCAGGAAGACGGCUCUAUGAGUUGUAAACUGCUUUUGUACGAGGGUAAACGCAGAUACGCGUAUCUGUCUGAAAGUAUCGUACGAAUAAGGAUCGGCUAACUCCGUGCCAGCAGCCGCGGUAAUACGGAGUAGCCAAGCGUUAGCCGGAUUUAUUUGGGUUUAAGGGUGCGUAGGCGGUUUGCUAAGUUAGAGGUGAAAUACCGGUUGUCAAACCCGGAACUGCCUUUAAUACUGUUGAACUAGAGAGUAGUUGCGGUAGGCGGAAUGUAUGGUGUAGCGGUGAAAUGCGUAGAGAUCAUACAGAACACCGAUUGCGAAGGCAGCUUACCAAACUAUAUCUGACGUUGAGGCACGAAAGCGUGGGUAGCAAACAGGAUUAGAUACCCUUGUAGUC